UUCCCGAAACGAGCGCAACCCUCGCCUUUAGUUGCCAUCACGUUUGGGUGGGCACUCUAAAGGAACUGCCGGUGACAAGCCGGAGGAAGGUGGGGAUGACGUCAAGUCCUCAUGGCCCUUAUGUCCUGGGCUACACACGUGCUACAAUGGCGGUGACAGUGGGAAGCCAGGUGGUGACACCGAGCCGAUCUCAAAAAGCCGUCUCAGUUCGGAUUGCACUCUGCAACUCGAGUGCAUGAAGGUGGAAUCGCUAGUAAUCGCGGAUCAGCAUGCCGCGGUGAAUACGUUCCCGGGA
RNAcentral lists this ribosomal RNA (295 nucleotides) under Gluconacetobacter sp. Wu 3-1. Its description in RNAcentral is "partial 16S ribosomal RNA". It matches the Rfam family "Bacterial small subunit ribosomal RNA", at positions 1084 to 1378 of the family's 1533-position model. Lineage: Bacteria; Pseudomonadati; Pseudomonadota; Alphaproteobacteria; Acetobacterales; Acetobacteraceae. The record is from RNAcentral.